AACUGAUACUACCUGCGGGAACCUGCGGAGGGAUCAUUAGCGAGUUCUGGGUUUCUUUUCGGAGAGCCCAAACUUCCCAACCCUAUGUUUAUUGAAACUCUUGUUGCUUCGGCGGACCCGUUUCUCACGAAACCGCCGGGGGAGUGCUCCCCUGGCCCGCGUCCGUCGAUGGCCACACUCCAAACUCUUGAAAAUAACCAUGUCUAUUCUCUGAGUAACCAAAAAAAUUAAAGCAAAACU
Molecule: unclassified non-coding RNA, 240 nt
Filed under: soil metagenome
Description: partial contains 5.8S ribosomal RNA, internal transcribed spacer 2, and large subunit ribosomal RNA
Source: RNAcentral